Molecule: ribosomal RNA, 524 nt
Filed under: uncultured eukaryote
Lineage: Eukaryota
Description: SSU rRNA
Rfam family: Eukaryotic small subunit ribosomal RNA
Source: RNAcentral
UAGUCAUAUGCUUGUCUCAAAGAUUAAGCCAUGCAUGUCUAAGUAUAAGCAAUUAUACCGUGAAACUGCGAAUGGCUCAUUAAAUCAGUUAUCGUUUAUUUGAUAAUACCUUACUACUUGGAUAACCGUGGUAAUUCUAGAGCUAAUACAUGCUGAAAAUCCCGACUUCGGAAGGGAUGUGUUUAUUAGAUAAAAAACCAAUGCCCUUCGGGGCUUUUUGGUGAUUCAUGAUAACUUAACGGAUCGCAUAGCCUUGCGCUGGCGACGGUUCAUUCAAAUUUCUGCCCUAUCAACUUUCGAUGGUAAGGUAUUGGCUUACCAUGGUUUCAACGGGUAACGGGGAAUUAGGGUUCGAUUCCGGAGAGGGAGCCUGAGAAACGGCUACCACAUCCAAGGAAGGCAGCAGGCGCGCAAAUUACCCAAUCCCGACACGGGGAGGUAGUGACAAUAAAUACUGAUACAGGGCUCUUUUGGGUCUUGUAAUUGGAAUGAGUACAAUUUAAACCUCUUAACGAGGAACAAUU